Molecule: transfer RNA, 68 nt
Filed under: Marmota monax (woodchuck)
Lineage: Eukaryota; Metazoa; Chordata; Mammalia; Rodentia; Sciuridae
Description: tRNA.Ala
Source: RNAcentral
GUUGUGGCUCAGUGGUCGAGCGCUCCCCUAGCAAGUUCGAGGCCCUGGGUUCAAUCCUCAGAAUGACA